UCCCUUUUGGCCAUAAGUUUGCACAGCUCGCUCGCUCGCGCUCAUGCACGCGACUAGACUACUCUAGCUAGUUAGUCCAUGCGGCCGGAAGGUUUUGGGCGAAAGGGAAUCCGGUUCUUAUUCCGGAACCUCCACCCGGAGACGGUGUUACCCCUCGCCUAAAGGUACUCCUGGCGACAGGAGGAAACCUGCUGCUGCCGGCCGCGGUCCAGGGAAGAGUUUUCUUUUCUGCUUAAGAGGUCUUGGCCCUGGAAGCUACUUGCAAGGCGAGAGGGCCUUAUCAA
Molecule: ribosomal RNA, 284 nt
Filed under: Chorisquilla tweediei
Lineage: Eukaryota; Metazoa; Arthropoda; Malacostraca; Stomatopoda; Protosquillidae
Description: partial 28S ribosomal RNA
Source: RNAcentral